Molecule: long non-coding RNA, 812 nt
Organism: Mobula hypostoma (lesser devil ray)
Lineage: Eukaryota; Metazoa; Chordata; Chondrichthyes; Myliobatiformes; Myliobatidae
Exons: 3
Source: RefSeq, a predicted model, not a curated record
AAAAGGUUUAUUGAAGCUACGGCUAUCGUGAGCACCAGCGAUAGCGAGACGAUAUCGGCAGAGUCGUGUUCCAGAUCUCUACCGUGUAACCGGGAAUUAGUUCUGUUAAAUCAAACCAAGGCCAAGGGAUUUGUUGAGGAUUUUAUAAGUUUUGUCAAUCGGCUUUUCGUGGAUGACCAACAUUUGGUGGACGAACCAAGAAACAAGAUGGCGAGGCCCCGGGAUGGGAGCUCGAGCGGGAACGAAAUGUUUCCUGACGGAGACGCUUCAAUACGGUCGGGGGGGUUCUUUUGAAGAUCCUGACCUGGAGUUAUAUGUUGACUUCGGUUUUUGCAGUAAUGGGGCCCGCUCUCAGGGUCUCACGACUUGCUGAUAUUCGAUAUAUCAAUGACGCGGCCUAGAAGAUUAGCUUGCCUUCGGAGUUUCAGGAUUUAUUGGCUCUGGAGGAGGGCGGACUCGAGGUCAGUGCGUCAGCAGGAAAUCAUUGUUUCGUGAGAGAUGGAAGAUCUCUGGUUGUGUGGCAGAGACCUGAGUUCUUUGGGCACAGAGCUCGGAAAAAUCGACACAAUGGACUUUUAAGUUUGUUAAUGAGUGAGUUGCUUGUUAUGUCUCCCCUCUCACUGUGAAAAUGGAGACACUUCUUUUUCCCUUAUUAGGGAGGGAGAGAGCCUGUGGUAUGUCGAAUUACCGAGUGAAGGACUAGUCUUUGGGGUACUGCAAGUCUGUGUCUUUAUUGAUGCUUUGCUGCACGAUUGCAUGCUUGGUGGGGGGCGCUGAUUCUUUUUUUGCUGAUGAGGGAGAGGGGAUUGUUG